UGGGGAAUAUUGGACAAUGGGCGCAAGCCUGAUCCAGCCAUGCCGCGUGAGUGAUGAAGGCCCUAGGGUUGUAAAGCUCUUUCACCGGUGAAGAUAAUGACGGUAACCGGAGAAGAAGCCCCGGCUAACUUCGUGCCAGCAGCCGCGGUAAUACGAAGGGGGCUAGCGUUGUUCGGAUUUACUGGGCGUAAAGCGCACGUAGGCGGACUAUUAAGUCAGGGGUGAAAUCCCGGGGCUCAACCCCGGAACUGCCUUCGAUACAGGUAGUCUUGAGUUCGAGAGAGGUGAGUGGAAUUCCGAGUGUAGAGGUGAAAUUCGUAGAUAUUCGGAGGAACACCAGUGGCGAAGGCGGCUCACUGGCUCGAUACUGACGCUGAGGUGCGAAAGCGUGGGGAGCAAACAGG
RNAcentral lists this ribosomal RNA (404 nucleotides) under Actinomycetes bacterium. RNAcentral describes it as "Actinobacteria bacterium partial 16S ribosomal RNA". It matches the Rfam family "Bacterial small subunit ribosomal RNA", at positions 355 to 776 of the family's 1533-position model. The record is from RNAcentral. Lineage: Bacteria; Bacillati; Actinomycetota; Actinomycetes.